RNAcentral lists this ribosomal RNA (253 nucleotides) under uncultured bacterium. Its description in RNAcentral is "partial 16S ribosomal RNA". It matches the Rfam family "Bacterial small subunit ribosomal RNA", at positions 524 to 776 of the family's 1533-position model. The record is from RNAcentral.
UACGGAGGGUGCAAGCGUUAUCCGGAUUCACUGGGUUUAAAGGGUGCGUAGGUGGGUUGGUAAGUCAGUGGUGAAAUCCCCGAGCUUAACUUGGGAACUGCCAUCGAUACUAUCAGUCUUGAAUACCGUGGAGGUCAGCGGAAUAUGUCAUGUAGCGGUGAAAUGCUUAGAUAUGACAUAGAACACCAAUUGCGAAGGCAGCUGGCUACUCGGAUAUUGACACUGAGGCACGAAAGCGUGGGGAUCAAACAGG